This is a long non-coding RNA of Seriola aureovittata, 2571 nucleotides long. RefSeq lists it as uncharacterized. The transcript has 5 exons. NCBI's taxonomy places the organism in Eukaryota, Metazoa, Chordata, Actinopteri, Carangiformes, Carangidae. The record is from RefSeq and is a predicted model, not a curated record.
AGGGGGGCCGUCGAGAUCCACCUCCGCGGGAAAUAAUGGGGAUGAUAAUAAAACAGGGGGAAAACCCGUCCGAGGGAAGCUGAAUGGACGGAGCCAGAGAGACGUCACGAGCAGCCGCAGCCAUGAAGACCGUGCGGUCCAGCCUCCGGCAGCUCAGUCGGUCUCCAUCUCCCGAGCCGCUCGCUUCUCGGGCUUUUUAUGAAGAGCGGACGCCGCAAAGACUCGCAGGCAACGGCGGAUCCCUGGAGAGACAUUCAGCGGCCUCACAACACGUGGCUUUACUGUAGGUCAGAACUCGGCCCACGCUGAUUCUUCGCCUGCGGCUUGAGAGGAUGGGUAGCCUUAGGGGUUGGUUGUUAUCUUUGGUUAUCUAGCUGUAUGAGUGAUGUACAUUCUUCAUAAAGCUAGAUAACCGAAAGUAACAAGAAUCCCAUUACACUCCUGAAAAGGCAUCAAGACCCCAUACGCGCCUCCCUCCAAAAAAAAAAAAAAAGAACCGCAAAAACUCUCUGAGAAGAGCAACACGUGAAGAAAAUGGACGCCACCUGAAAGGACGUGGGAGCGGCGUGCGGCAGGAAGGCGACCGACCACCACAACACCACAGAAGGAGAGCUGGCAAAAGGAGACUGAAAAACAGGAAAAGAAGGAGGAGGAGGGGUUGUUGUUGAUUCUGCCCUCCCUCUCUCCUCGCCCUCCUCUGCAUCGCCUCUUCCCUCCUCCUCCUCCUCCGCUCCAUCCUCAGCAGACUGCCCCCUUUUUCCUGUACAGCGAGACGCAGCCGGCGCCACCAUCUUAGAGCAAACGCUGGCAUGAAAUGGAAGUGGGAAGACCAGUCAGUGCAGGUGAGUGCUGUCGGCGCAGGAGGAUCCACAACAGAAGACGGAGGGACGGCAGGACUGCUCCUUCUGCCGCCGUUUCCCGCCUUUCUGCCUGGAGUAAACGCGGACGACGGCGAUGACUUUGGGACGUUGGGGUGCUCUGUUUUUCACCUCUUCGGUGUUGCAUUAUGGGAGCCAACGCUCAAAGCUGGACUUGAUUGUGAACGCAAACAUCACGGCGGUGAUGGACUGUGACACUGUGGGGGAAACAGAAGAUCAGCAGCUGGAGGCGUCACUCUUCUCUUUGUGUUUCUGAGGGUGUGGCUCUGACGUUUGUAAAUUAUCAUUAAACAAUAUUAAUUAGACUUGAAACUAUAUAAUGUGUCAACUAAUAACUAACAUAAGGCUCCACUUACUGUAGGUGAUAUUUGAUGAGCUGUAGCCCGCGUUGUGUUUGAAUUGCUUUUGUUAUAGUUGCUAGAACUCAAAGACGCGUGAAUGUGAGACCCACGGCAGCAGUGAAUAAUACUGCACUGCGAUUGGACAGCUCCAUGUGUCGGCCGACACAAUGGCGAAGGAGUGAGCUGUCGUCUUUAUACUCUAUGCAACUGUUUUAUCUUCAUUUUUUGUUUUUUUGUUUGUACUUUGGAUUUUUUGUUGUUGUUUUUGGGCUGUAGUUUAUAGACGUUCCUCCAGACGUUAUCGAGACACGUGGUUUCUGAGGGAGCCGACACUCCCGUCGUUAAUACACUGAUGCAGAAGUUACAGUGGGCGUGUUGUGCGAGUGUGUGACAGACGACAGAACAUGGUUUCUGUGUCUCGUAUUUGCCGCCUUAACAGACUCUGAUUGGACUGUGCAGCCACGAGCCGCAGUCUGAGUAAACGUGGACUCUCACAUUUAAUAUUCCUGAUGGCAGGAGUGUAUUUGAUCAGCAGGGGAGUAGCUGAGCAGGGCUCAUGGUUCUGUGUGUGUGUGUGUGUGUGUGUGUGUGUGUGUGUGUACACAGAACCUGCCACACUAUUAAAACCUUCCCAGCAGGCUUUGAGACGCAGCAGCUUGGCUCAUAGCCGUCACCUGCUUCGCUGUAAUGCUACAUCUCUGGGUGAGACAUGACAAAUACAUUGGCUUCAAACACCGCCUUAAUUUCCUGUCCUUGACAUUAACACACACACACACACACACACAAAUGCAAUAAAGCAAGUACUAUCGCAGCCUAAUUCAUUCUAUAUUAAUUUCCAGGAAGUGGCAAAUUUUUUAUUACGAUUGAUAAUCUAUGCAAAUCUUUUAAAUAUUACUUUAAACAAUCUAUGUCUAUGCAGUGCUUUUGCAAUUGAUUCAAGGGAGGAUAUCUUGGUCUAAUUUAGAAAAUGUAUUCUUUUGAUAAUCAUGCACAUCCCAGUGCUCAAGACAAUUACUUAUCUGCCUGGAUAAGCUUGAAAUUAUGUUUUUAAUCUCUGGCAAAAAAAAAGGAAAAAAAAAAAGGAGUCACUCUUGUGAUAUCAGUCCAGUGGCAUGAAAACCAUGAGUUGUGGUCUAAAGUAAUUAAAUGGGUUGCACUAAAUCUCUUUUUUUUCUCCUUAAAUGCAGAUCUGUGCGGAAACGCUCUUUAUGUCGUAGCUUAUUGUUUUAGACGAGCGGCCGUCUUUGUGUUACGCAAUCUGACGGCUACGUGUUCACCACAUGUGCCUUUCUGUGGAAAACUACUGUGUUGGAAUAGUAAUAAAGGUUUACAUUGAAAACAAUGGAAAACUG